AGUCGUAACAAGGUUUCCGUAGGUGAACCUGCGGAAGGAUCAUUAACACUUAAAUUAAUGUCCGUCCCACAAAACACCUUUGAGAAUGGUCCGGUGAUGAAAAACAAAAAACAUUCUGGAGGAGAGAGAUGGUAAAAAAAAAGAAGUGUGAGGAACCUUUUUUGAGAACAAAAAAGCUUCGGCUUUCUUUAGUAUUAUUUUAGGUUCUUCCUCUUAUUUUUUCUUCUCUUUCUCUCUUUCUUCUCUCUCUCUCUUUAACAAAACACCCCCAACCUUUUAUUAAACAAAAAAAAUUAAAUAGAAGCAAAACAAAAUUAAAUAAAAUACAACUCUUAACAAUGGAUAUCUUGGUUCUCGC
RNAcentral lists this unclassified non-coding RNA (358 nucleotides) under fungal sp. RNAcentral's name for it is "partial internal transcribed spacer region". The stretch from base 1 to 45 matches the Rfam family "Eukaryotic small subunit ribosomal RNA", at positions 1787 to 1831 of the family's 1831-position model. Lineage: Eukaryota; Fungi. The record is from RNAcentral.